Molecule: ribosomal RNA, 113 nt
Filed under: Cupriavidus sp. P-10
Lineage: Bacteria; Pseudomonadati; Pseudomonadota; Betaproteobacteria; Burkholderiales; Burkholderiaceae
Source: RNAcentral
UGGUGACCAUAGCGAGUUGGAACCACCCCUUCCCAUCCCGAACAGGACCGUGAAACAGCUCCGCGCCGAUGAUAGUGCGGAUUACCCGUGUGAAAGUAGGUCAUCGCCAGGCU